RNAcentral lists this microRNA precursor (100 nucleotides) under Microtus ochrogaster (prairie vole). RNAcentral describes it as "miRNA (ENSMOCG00000008863.1)". The record is from RNAcentral. Lineage: Eukaryota; Metazoa; Chordata; Mammalia; Rodentia; Cricetidae.
GAAAUGCCUCCAUGUGAUCCAGCUGUAAGGCAUUUUCUCAAUUAGUGAUCAAUGGGGACGGGUCCAAUGUGGGUGGGGCCACCCCUGGCUGGCGGUCCUG